Molecule: ribosomal RNA, 307 nt
Filed under: uncultured Pseudomonas sp.
Lineage: Bacteria; Pseudomonadati; Pseudomonadota; Gammaproteobacteria; Pseudomonadales; Pseudomonadaceae
Description: bacterial SSU rRNA
Rfam family: Bacterial small subunit ribosomal RNA
Source: RNAcentral
UUGGGUUAAGUCCCGUAACGAGCGCAACCCUUGUCCUUAGUUACCAGCACGUUAUGGUGGGCACUCUAAGGAGACUGCCGGUGACAACCGGAGGAAGGUGGGGAUGACGUCAAGUCAUCAUGGCCCUUACGGCCUGGGCUACACACGUGCUACAAUGGUCGGUACAAAGGGUUGCCAAGCCGCGAGGUGGAGCUAAUCCCAUAAAACCGAUCGUAGUCCGGAUCGCAGUCUGCAACUCGACUGCGUGAAGUCGGAAUCGCUAGUAAUCGUGAAUCAGAAUGUCACGGUGAAUACGUUCCCGGGCCUU